CAUGCGCAGCUUGCGCACCACGCCGCGUGGGUGAUGAAGGCCUUCGGGUCGUAAAGCCCUGUCAGGUGGGAAGAAUGUCCUGGGGCUUAAUAGCUUUCUGGGAGUGACGGUACCACCAGAGAACGCACCGGCUAACUCCGUGCCAGCAGCCGCGAUAAUA
RNAcentral lists this ribosomal RNA (160 nucleotides) under uncultured sulfate-reducing bacterium. RNAcentral describes it as "partial 16S ribosomal RNA". It matches the Rfam family "Bacterial small subunit ribosomal RNA", at positions 372 to 525 of the family's 1533-position model. The record is from RNAcentral.